RNAcentral lists this transfer RNA (77 nucleotides) under Candidatus Avacidaminococcus intestinavium. Its description in RNAcentral is "tRNA-Pro". It matches the Rfam family "tRNA". Rfam says of the family: Transfer RNA (tRNA) molecules are approximately 80 nucleotides in length. Their secondary structure includes four short double-helical elements and three loops (D, anti-codon, and T loops). RNAcentral also lists the same sequence under 1 other name. The record is from RNAcentral. Lineage: Bacteria; Bacillati; Bacillota; Negativicutes; Acidaminococcales; Acidaminococcaceae.
CGGGGCGUGGCUCAGUUUGGUAGAGCGCUACCUUGGGGUGGUAGAGGCCGUGGGUUCAAAUCCCGCCGCUCCGACCA